GCUGGCACAUCCCGGCCAAUCUCCAGCAGACCCUCUCUCCCAGACCCUCCCACCUCCUGGACAGCAUCCAUGUUGAAGCUGCCUUCAACAUGGAUGCUGUCCAGGAGGUGGGAGGGUCUGGGAGGGAGGGUCUGCUGGAGAUUGGCUGGGAUGUGUCAG
Non-coding RNA from Pelobates cultripes (western spadefoot toad), 159 nucleotides. Lineage: Eukaryota; Metazoa; Chordata; Amphibia; Anura; Pelobatidae. The record is from the annotation of a GenBank genome assembly.